Molecule: ribosomal RNA, 457 nt
Filed under: uncultured bacterium
Lineage: Bacteria
Description: bacterial SSU rRNA
Rfam family: Bacterial small subunit ribosomal RNA
Source: RNAcentral
UACGGAAGGCAGCAGUGGGGAAUAUUGCACAAUGGGCGAAAGCCUGAUGCAGCUAUGCCGCGUGUAUGAAGAAGGCCUUAGGGUUGUAAAGUACUUUCAUCGGGGAGGAAAAAACAAAACUAAUAAUUUUAUUUCUUGACGUUACCCGAAAAAGAAGCACCGGCUAACUCCGUGCCAGCAGCCGCGGUAAUACGGAGGGUGCUAGCGUUAAUCAGAAUUACUGGGCGUAAAGAGCACGUAGGUGGUUUUUUUAAGUCAGAUGUGAAAUCCCCUGGGCUUAACCUGGAACUGCAUUUUGAAACUGAAAUACUAGAGUAUCGUAGAGGGAGGUAGAAUUCUAGGUGUAGCGGUGAAAUGCGUAAAUAUCUGGAGGAAUACCUGUGGCGAAAGCGGCCUCCUAAACGAAUACUGACACUGAGGGUGCGAAAGCGUGGGGAGCAAACAGGGAUUAGAUACC